GCAAUAGCCGUCAUUUCAACGUCUCGUUUCAGUAUAGACCCGAUAUAGCCGGGCUGUGCCUAGCCCACUUCUAGCCCCAUAAUUUGUGAGAUGUAUGCUAUUUCAUCAUGUAAGCAAAGUUAACAGCGAUUACAAGAUCGGGAAGCUGUGAAGGAGGUGCUGCCCGGCCUUCGCAGAGUCAGCGUGCCUCACAUCACCCUGACCACAGACGCUCGUAGGCGGCUGAGGCGUGCUGCGAGCCAGCACCCGUCUCGAUGCAGCUUCACGGACCGCGUUGGGGUGAACGGAGACGCCAUCGCCCAGCAUGAAAACGAUGCUGUGUUGAACAACUUCCCAGCAGCAACAGAACUGGAAGUGAAGGAUGCAAUGGGAGGCAUUUCAAACAGUCACCAGGGAGGACGUGGUGUAUAGAAAUUAGUACAAUGAAUAAGUUGAAGUGAACUGAAGAUAGUUUGUUAAUGUUUAGAUGUUAUUUCAUUUAUAAAAUUGUAUUUUGUUAUUUAUGCUUUUAUUUUGUUACUGUUUUUAUUCUUUUUGUUAAAAGUAGUUUUUAUUCAUUUUGUCUUUGAAUUUCUAUUGUAUUAACAAUAUUUUUUGUAAUAAAUUGCAUGAUUGCAUGUUUAUG
This is a non-coding RNA of Paramisgurnus dabryanus, 625 nucleotides long. The record is from RefSeq and is a predicted model, not a curated record. Lineage: Eukaryota; Metazoa; Chordata; Actinopteri; Cypriniformes; Cobitidae.